RNAcentral lists this ribosomal RNA (453 nucleotides) under Arthrobacter sp. 60BC10. Its description in RNAcentral is "bacterial SSU rRNA". It matches the Rfam family "Bacterial small subunit ribosomal RNA", at positions 46 to 517 of the family's 1533-position model. Lineage: Bacteria; Bacillati; Actinomycetota; Actinomycetes; Micrococcales; Micrococcaceae. The record is from RNAcentral.
GCUUACCAUGCAGUCGACGAUGAUCCUCACUUGUGGGGGGAUUAGUGGCGAACGGGUGAGUAACACGUGAGUAACCUGCCCUUAACUCUGGGAUAAGCCUGGGAAACUGGGUCUAAUACCGGAUAUGACCUUCCAUCGCAUGGUGGUGGGUGGAAAGCUUUUUGUGGUUUUGGAUGGACUCGCGGCCUAUCAGCUUGUUGGUGAGGUAAUGGCUUACCAAGGCGACGACGGGUAGCCGGCCUGAGAGGGUGACCGGCCACACUGGGACUGAGACACGGCCCAGACUCCUACGGGAGGCAGCAGUGGGGAAUAUUGCACAAUGGGCGCAAGCCUGAUGCAGCGACGCCGCGUGAGGGAUGACGGCCUUCGGGUUGUAAACCUCUUUCAGCACGGAAGAAACGAAAGUGACGGUACCUGCAGAAAAAACACCGGCUAACUACGUGCCAGCAGCCG